Carassius gibelio (silver crucian carp) is the source of this 4069-nucleotide long non-coding RNA. RefSeq lists it as uncharacterized. The transcript is spliced from 3 exons. The record is from RefSeq and is a predicted model, not a curated record. NCBI's taxonomy places the organism in Eukaryota, Metazoa, Chordata, Actinopteri, Cypriniformes, Cyprinidae.
UCUUAUCCAACAUUUGAAGUUUGGGGCAGAUUGGACAUUGUAUGUCUGAGUUACAGCAACUUCCUUUUUCAUGGCGAAACAUCGAAAUUUGUCAGGCCGCCAUGGACACGCCCUUUAACGAAACCUCAAGAUCUUCGCAAUUUAACAUCACAAAGGCCUUUAGAUUACAUUGAAGAAGUUUGGUGUUGAUCUGAAUAAAUCUCUAGGAGGAGUUCGUUAAAGUACAACCCCUGAAAAUGGCAAAAACAACGCCAAUUUUGAAGGGAAAAUUCUAAAUAACCGACUUCCUGUUGGGAUCCGGAUUUCGUACCAAGAGACUUUUUUGUAGGUAUUGGAGUGUUACAUGUGUGUACCAAUUUUUGUACAUGUACGUGAAACAUAGCUCGAGGCGCACUCCGUUUAAAGUGUAUAGGUGGCGCUAUCGAGCCAUUCUGCCACACCCGGUGGAAUAUUGGCCUGCAGAUCUGUUCAGGCCAGGACUCUUAUCACACAUGUGAAGUUUGGGGAAGAUCGGACAUUUUAUGCCUGAGUUAUAACAUCUUUUAUUCCCAUGGCGAGACAUCGAACUUCGUUGCGGCGCCAUGAACAAGCCUUUUAACGAAAACUCAAGAUCUUCACAACUGAACAUGGCACAGGCCUUUAGAUUAGACUGACCACAAAAAAGACAUUGAUGUCAUAAAAUUUGUAGGAGUAGUUCGUCGCAGCGUAAAAUAUGUCACUUCCUGUUGCCAAUAGGUGGCGCUAUGACUAUAACUGAAUAUGGGCAUGUCAAUCUGUUCAGGUUCGGAGUCUCAUCAAACAUGUGAUGUUUGGGGCAGAUUGGACAUUGUAUGUGUGAGUUAUAGCAACUUCAUUUUUCAUGGCGAAUCAUCGAAAUUCGCCAGGCCGCCACGGACACGCCCUUCAACGAAAACUCAAGAUCUUCGCAAUUUAACAUCGCUAAGGCCUUUAGAUUAGGCAUACCAAAUUUGGUGUUGAUUUGAAGAAAUCUCUAGGAGGAGUUCGUUAAAAUACAACACAUGGAAAUGACCAAAAUUACACAAAAAAUGCUCAUAAUAUUAAAAAUAACCGACUUCCUGUUGGGUUUAGAAUUUCGCUCCAAGAGUCUUUUUUGUAGGUAUUGGUGUGUUACAUAUGUGUGCCAAUUUUCGUGCAUGUACGUGAAACAUAGCUUGAAGGCUGUUGAUUUUCUUGGUAUAGGUGGCGCUGUCGAGCCAUUUUGCCACACCCUCUUCUGAAUCCUAUAUCACACGAAAAUUUUCACCAGGUUUGACGAGUGUGCAAAGUUUCAUGACUUUUUGAGCAUGUUAAAGCCCUCAAAAAUGCGAUUCAUUCGGGAGAAGAAGAAGAAGAAGAAGAAGAAGAAUAAUAAUAAUAAAAAACAAAGCAGAUACAAGAGGGUCCUCGCACCUCGGUGCUCGGGCCCUAAUAAUAAUAAUAAUAAUAAUAAUAAACAAAGCAGAUACAAGAGGGUCCUCACACCAUCGGUGCUCGGGCCCUAAUUAAAGCUGCAAGCAGCGAUGAACGGGCCCUCGCACCCGGGCUCACCGCCAUCGUGUGGCUUUAGUAAAAAGGUGAACGUUGAGAAAUAUGCAUUUAAUGUCCUAAAUAUAAGUGGAAUAUAUCAAAGUAUAUCCCAUAUAUGUGCCAAUCUUACCGUUGCCAGCAGGUGGCGCUAUCAUUAUAAUGGAAUAUUGGCCUUCAGAUGUGUUCAGGCCAGGACUCUUAUCAAACAUGUGAAGUUUGGGGAAGAUUGAACAUUUUAUGCUUGAGUUACAACAACUUCUCUUGCUGUGGACAAGACAUCAAAUUUUGUCAUGGCGCCAUGGAAACGCCCUUUAACAAAAACUCAACAUCUCCAAAAGUUAACAUUGCACAGGCCUUUAGAUUAGACUGACCACAAAAUAUAUGUUAAUCUCAAAAAAAUUAUAUGAGUAGUUUGUCGCAGCGUAAAACAUGUCACUUCCUGUUGCCAAUAGGUGGCGCUAUGACUAUAACUGAAUGUGGGCAUGUAGAUCUGUUAAGGGCAGAAGUUUUAUCUAACAUGUGAAGUUUGGGGCAGAUUGGACAUUGUAUGUCUGAGUUACAGCAACUUCCUUUUUCAUGGCGAAACAUCGAAAUUUGUCAGGCCGCCAUGGACACGCCCUUUAACGAAAUCUAAAGAUCUUCGCAAUUUAACAUCGCAAAGGGCUUAAGAUUACACUGACCAGGUUUGGUGUUGAUCUGACUAAAUCUCUAGGAGGAGUUCGUUAAAGUACAACCCCUGAAAAUGGCAAAAACAACGCCAAUUUUGCAGAGAAAAUUCUAAAUAACCAACUUCCUGUUGGGAUUCGGAUUUCGUACCAAGAGACUUUUUUGUAGGUAUUGGUGUGUUACAUAUGUAUACCGAUUUGUGUACAUGUACGUGAAACAUAGCUCGAGGCGCACUCUGUUGAAAGUGUAUAGGUGGCGCUAUCGAGCCAUUUUGCCACACCUGAUGGAAUUUUGGCCUUCAGAUGUGUUCAGGCCAGGACUCUUAUCACACAUGUGCAGUUUGGGGAAGAUCGGACAUUUUAUGCCUGAGUUAUAACAUAUUUUAUUCCCAUGGCGAGACAUCGAACUUCGUGACGGCGCCAUGGACACGCCUUUUAACGAAAACUCAAGAUCUUCACAACUUAACAUCGCACAGGCCUUUAGAUUAGACUGACCACAAAAAAUACAUUGAUGUCAUAAAAUUUCUAGGAGUAGUUCAUCGCAGUGUAAAAUAUGUCACUUCCUGUUGCCAAUAGGUGGCGCUAUGACUAUAACUGAAUAUGGGCAUGCCAAUCUGUUCAGGUCAGGAGUCUCAUCAAACAUGUGAAGUUUGGGGCAGAUUGGUCAUUGUAUGUCUGAGUUAUAGCAACUUCCUGUUUCAUGGCGAAUCAUCGAAAUUCGCCAGGCCGCCACGGACACGCCCAUUAACGAAAACUCAAAAGCUUCGCAAUUUAACAUCGCAAAGGCCUUCAGAUUAGGCAUACCAAAUUUGGUGUUGAUCUGAAUGAAUCUCUAGGAGGAGUUCGUUAAAAUACAACGCAUGGAAAUGACAAAAAUGGCACAAAAUUUGCUCAUAAUAUUAGUAAUAACCGACUUCCUGUUGGGUUUCGGAUUUUGCUCCAAGAGACUUUUUUGUAGGUAUUGGAGAGUUACAUGAGUAUACCGAUUUUCAUACAUGUACAUGAAACGUAGCUCGAGGCGCACACCGUUGAACGUGUAUAGGUGGCGCUGUUGAGCCAUUUUGCCACACCCACUUCUGAAACCCAUAUCAGACGUAAAUUUUCGCCAGUUCUGAGGUGUGUGCAAAGUUUCAUGACUUUUCGAGCAUGUUUAGGCCCUCAAAAAUGCGAUUCAUUUUGGAGAAGAAGAAUAAUAAUAAUAAUUAAAGCUGCAAGCAGCGAUGAACGGGCCCUCGCACACGGGCUCACCGGCAGCGAGUGGCUUUAGUAAAUAGGUGAACGGUGAGAAACAUGCAUUUAAACUCAUAAAUAUAAGUGGAAUAUAUCAAAGUUUACUCCCUAUUUGUGCCAAUCUUUGUGUUGCCAGCAGGUGGUGCUCUCAUUAUAAUGGACUAUUGGCCUUCAGAUGUGUUCAGGGCAGGACUCUUAUCGAACAUGUGAAGUUUGGGGAAGAUCGAACAAAUUAUGCCUGAGUUACAACAACUUCUCUUGCUGUGGCGAGACAUCAAAAUUUGUCAUGAUGCCAUGGACAUGCCCUUUAACAAAAACUCAAGAUCUCCACAAGUUAACAUUGCACAGGCCUUUAGAUUAGACUGACUACAAAAAAUACAUUAAUCUCAAAAAAAUUCUAGGAGUAGUUUGUCACAGCAUACAACAUGUCACUUCCUGUUGCCAGCAGGUGGCGCUAUGACUAUAACUGAAUAUGGGCAUGUAGAUCUGUUAAGGGCAGAAGUCUUAUCUAACAUGUGAAGUUUGGGGCAGAUUGGACAUUGUAAGUCUGAGUAACAGCAACUUCCUUUUUCAUGGCGAAACAUCGAAUUUUGUCAGGCCGCCAUGGACACGCCCUUUAACGAAACCUCAAAAUCUUCGCAAUUUAA